AUCUAAGUAGGCGGAGGAGAAGAAAACAAAAGUGAUUCCGUAAGUAGUGGCGAGCGAACGCGGAUUAGCCCAAACCAAUGUUGUUACGGCAAUGUUGGGGUUGUAGGACCACGUUAUUUGUUGCGGAUAGAAUUAGAAUUUACUGGAAAGUAAAGCCAAAGAAGGUGAUAGCCCUGUAUAAGUAAUAGAAGAUAACGAUAGUGGUAUCCUGAGUAGGGCGGGACACGAGAAAUCCUGUCUGAAUUUGGCGGGACCAUCCGCUAAGGCUAAAUACUCCUGAGAGACCGAUAGUGAACCAGUACCGUGAGGGAAAGGUGAAAAGAACCGUGAAUAACGGAGUGAAAUAGAUCCUGAAACCAUACGCUUACAAGCGGUCGGAGCCCUUUCGUGGGGUGACGGCGUGCCUUUUGCAUAAUGAGCCUACGAGUUAACGUUGCUGGCAAGGUUAAGUGAUUAAGUCACGGAUCCGUAGCGAAAGCGAGUCUGAAUAGGGCGCUUUAGUCAGUAGUGUUAGACGCGAAACCGUGUGAUCUACCCAUGGACAGGAUGAAGCUGUGGUAACACAUAGUGGAGGUCCGAACCCGUUGACGUUGAAAAGUCUUGGGAUGAUCUGUGGGUAGGGGUGAAAGGCCAAUCAAACUCGGAAAUAGCUCGUACUCCCCGAAAUGCAUUUAGGUGCAGCGUUAUGGUUAAAGUUAUAUAGAGGUAGAGCUACUGAUUGGAUGCGGGGGCUUCACCGCCUACCAAUUCCUGACAAAC
This 759-nucleotide ribosomal RNA is filed under the name Flavobacterium psychrophilum. Its description in RNAcentral is "partial 23S ribosomal RNA". It matches the Rfam family "Bacterial large subunit ribosomal RNA", at positions 200 to 954 of the family's 2925-position model. The record is from RNAcentral. Lineage: Bacteria; Pseudomonadati; Bacteroidota; Flavobacteriia; Flavobacteriales; Flavobacteriaceae.